GUACAGAGCCUACAACUCAUUUCACCUUCUAGUCUGUAUCAUCAACUUUUAAAUAUUUUAAUACAAUAUUCUAUGCAAGGGGGAAUUUCCUCACUUCCUCCUUGCUUACUUUCAAAAAAAAAACAACCUUGGUAUCUUCUGGUUGAAUUAGUUCACUUGGAAAGUUCGUGUGGGAUGGACCCGGCUGCUUGAUGCUAUGGUGUUUGUCAUUGGGUUUUCAUUGUUUCAGAUUGUCUCUCCAUUCUUUCCUUACUUGAGACAUUUUUUGUUUUUUAUUUACUCCUCUGCAAUCUCUGCUUUCCUACUCUCUUCUUCCUCAUGUACAUUCAGUUCAAAUAAAUGCUAGGGGGCUGCUGUUGCAGCUUCCCUUACCAUCCAACAAAAAAGGGAAAAAAAAAACAUUCCAGAAAGAAUACACGAGUGCAUAGGCUCCUUGAAGAUUGUUCGAGGAGCACCAGACCCUAUGGCUUAAUGCAAUGCACGUUACCAUGACUGCAGUUGUAUAUGGU
RNAcentral lists this long non-coding RNA (509 nucleotides) under Elaeis guineensis (African oil palm). Its description in RNAcentral is "long non-coding RNA (EGUI_LNC000501)". Lineage: Eukaryota; Viridiplantae; Streptophyta; Magnoliopsida; Arecales; Arecaceae. The record is from RNAcentral.